Molecule: transfer RNA, 77 nt
Filed under: Thermoanaerobaculia bacterium
Lineage: Bacteria; Pseudomonadati; Acidobacteriota; Thermoanaerobaculia
Also listed under: 1 other name
Description: tRNA-Arg
Rfam family: tRNA
About the family: Transfer RNA (tRNA) molecules are approximately 80 nucleotides in length. Their secondary structure includes four short double-helical elements and three loops (D, anti-codon, and T loops).
Source: RNAcentral
GCAGCCAUAGCUCAGCUGGAUAGAGCAUCAGACUUCGAAUCUGAGGGUCGGGGGUUCGAAUCCCUCUGGCUGCACCA